UACGAAGGGGGCGAGCGUUGUUCGGAUUUACUGGGCGUAAAGGGCGCGUAGGCGGCCCUCCUUGUCGCGUGUGAAAGCCCCGGGCUCAACCUGGGAAUUGCGCGCGAAACGGGGGGGCUUGAGUUCGGGAGAGGAGGGUGGAAUUCCCAGUGUAGAGGUGAAAUGCGUAGAUAUUGGGAAGAACACCGGUGGCGAAGGCGGCGCGCUGGGCCGAGACUGACGCUGAUGCGCGAAAGCGUGGGGAGCAAACAGG
RNAcentral lists this ribosomal RNA (253 nucleotides) under uncultured bacterium. RNAcentral describes it as "partial 16S ribosomal RNA". It matches the Rfam family "Bacterial small subunit ribosomal RNA", at positions 524 to 776 of the family's 1533-position model. The record is from RNAcentral.